This 66-nucleotide transfer RNA is filed under the name Corynebacterium kroppenstedtii. It matches the Rfam family "tRNA". Rfam says of the family: Transfer RNA (tRNA) molecules are approximately 80 nucleotides in length. Their secondary structure includes four short double-helical elements and three loops (D, anti-codon, and T loops). The record is from RNAcentral. Lineage: Bacteria; Bacillati; Actinomycetota; Actinomycetes; Mycobacteriales; Corynebacteriaceae.
UGGAAUGGCCGAGUGGUGAGGCAACGGUCUGCAAAACCGUGUACACGGGUUCGAUUCCCGUUUCCA